GGAUGAACGCUGGCGGCGUGCCUAAUACAUGCAAGUCGAGCGAACAGCCGAGGUGCUUGCUCCUCUGACGUUAGCGGCACGGGUGAGUAACACGUGGAUAACCUACCUAUAAGACUGGGAUAACUUCGGGAAACCGGAGCUAAUACCGGAUAAUAUAUUGAACCGCAUGGUUCAAUAGUGAAAGACGGUUUUGCUGUCACUUAUAGAUGGAUCCGCGCCGCAUUAGCUAGUUGGUAAGGUAACGGCUUACCAAGGCGACGAUGCGUAGCCGACCUGAGAGGGUGAUCGGCCACACUGGAACUGAGACACGGUCCAGACUCCUACGGGAGGCAGCAGUAGGGAAUCUUCCGCAAUGGGCGAAAGCCUGACGGAGCAACGCCGCGUGAGUGAUGAAGGUCUUCGGAUCGUAAAACUCUGUUAUUAGGGAAGAACAAAUGUGUAAGUAACUAUGCACGUCUUGACGGUACCUAAUCAGAAAGCAACGGCUAACUACGUG
RNAcentral lists this ribosomal RNA (496 nucleotides) under uncultured bacterium. RNAcentral describes it as "partial 16S ribosomal RNA". It matches the Rfam family "Bacterial small subunit ribosomal RNA", at positions 27 to 507 of the family's 1533-position model. The record is from RNAcentral.